AUCGCUUCUCGGCCUUUUGGCUAAGAUCAAGUGUAGUAUCUCUUCUUAUCAGUUUAAUAUCUGAUACGUCCCCCAGCGGGGGACGACAUAUUAAGCGGAUUUUUUGAACAGGGAGUCGGCAAAGGGGCUUGCUCCAUCCGCUCCACGCAUCGAACCAGUAUUGCAGUGCUUCUGGGAGUGGUGUACUUUCU
Molecule: small nuclear RNA, 191 nt
Gene: U2
Rfam family: U2 spliceosomal RNA
About the family: U2 is a small nuclear RNA (snRNA) component of the spliceosome (involved in pre-mRNA splicing). Complementary binding between U2 snRNA (in an area lying towards the 5' end but 3' to hairpin I) and the branchpoint sequence (BPS) of the intron results the bulging out of an unpaired adenosine, on the BPS, which initiates a nucleophilic attack at the intronic 5' splice site, thus starting the first of two transesterification reactions that mediate splicing.
Source: Ensembl